This 2145-nucleotide long non-coding RNA is filed under the name Salmo salar (Atlantic salmon). Its description in RNAcentral is "lncRNA (ENSSSAG00000109822.1)". The record is from RNAcentral. Lineage: Eukaryota; Metazoa; Chordata; Actinopteri; Salmoniformes; Salmonidae.
UAUCUAUAAAACAAUGACACUAAAUAGUACAGUCACAAAAUUCACAUUUUUUUAAAUCUAUUUUUCACAGGUUUUUGCCUGCAAUAUGAGUUUUGUUAUACUUACAGACACCAUUCAAACUGUUUUAGAAAAUUCAGAGUGUUUUCUAUCCGAAUGUGUUAAUAAUAUGCAUAUCUUAGCUUCUGAGUUGGUGUAGGAGGCAGUUAAAAAUGGGCCCAUAUUUUUUUCAAAAUUUCUCAAUACUGCCCCCGAGCCCCAACAGGUUUUAAACAGCGUUUGACAUGCUUCGAAGUACGGUAAUGGAAUAUUUUGAUUUUUUUUGUCACGAAACCCGCCGGGCGCGUCACCCUUCUUUACCCUUCGGAUAGUGUCUUGAACGCACGAACAAAACGCCGCUAUUUGGAUAUAACUAUGGAUUAUUUGGAACCAAACCAACAUUUGUUAUUGAAGUAGAAGUCCUGGGAGUGCAUUCUGAUGAAGAACAGCAAAGGUAAUCCAAUUUUUGUUAUAGUAAAUCUGAGUUUGGUGAGUACCACACUUGGUGGGUGUCAAAAUAGCUAGCCCGUGAUGGCCGGGCUAUCUACUCAGGAAUUUGGAAAAUGUGCUUUUUCCUUUAUGCAAUCGGACAUAGCGAUUGCAUAAAGGAGUUCUGUAUCUAUAAUUCUUAAAAUAAUUGUUAUGUUUUUUGUGAACGUUUAUCGUGAGUAAUUUAGUAAAUUCACCGGAAGUGUUCGGUGGGAAUGCUAGUCACAUGCUAAUGUAAAAAGCUGGUUUUUGAUAUAAAUAUGAACUUGAUUGAACAAAACAUGCAUGUAUUGUAUAACAUAAUGUCCUAGGAGUGUCAUCUGAUGAAGAUCAUCAAAGGUUAGUGCUGCAUUUAGCUGCGGUUUUGUUUUUUGUGACAUUAUAUGCUAGCUUGAAAAAUGGGUGUCUGAUUAUUUCUGUCUGGGUACUCUGCUGACAUAAUCUAAUGUUUUGCUUUCGUUGUAAAGCCUUUUUGAAAUCGGACAGUGUGGUUAGAUUAACGAGAGUCUUGUCUUUUAAAAUGGUGUAAAAUAGUCAUAUGUUUGAGAAAUCGAAGUAAUAGCAUUUCUAAGGUAUUUAAAUAUCGCGCCACGGGAUUCCACUGGCUGUUGAGUAGGUGGGACGCAAGCGUCCCACCUAGCCCAUAGAGGUUAACUAAAUAUGCAGGUUUAAGAAUAUAAAGCAUUGAUGUUUAUGGUUAGGUACAUUGGUGCAACGACAGUGUUUUUUUCUCAAAUGCGCUUGUUAAAUCAACACUCGUUUGGCGAAAUAGGCUGUGAUUCAAUAAUAAAUUAACAGGCACCGCAUCGAUUAUAUGCAACGCAGGACAGAUAAACUAGUAAUAUCAUCAACCAUGUGUAGUUAACUAGUGAUUAUGUUAAGAUUGAUAGUUUUUUAUAAGAUAAGUUUAAUGCUAGCUAGCAACUUACCUUGGCUUCUUGCUGCCCUCGCACAACAGGUAGUCAGCCUGCCAUGCAGGCUCCUCGUGCGUUGGAUUGGAUUAGUAACCGGAAGGUUGCAAGAACGAUUCCGCGAAUCCCUCCUGAACAAGGCAGUUAACCCCCGUUCCUAGGCCGUCAUUGAAAAUAAGAAUGUGUUCUUAAUCUGACUUGCCUAGUUAAAUAAAGGUGUAAACAAAAAAAAGUAUUUAAAAAAAAUCGGCAAAUCGGUGGCCAAAAAUACCGAUUAUCGAUUGUUAUGAAAACUUGAAAUCGGCCCUAAUUAAUCGCCCAUUCCGAUUAAUCGGUCGACCUCUAGUCUCAUGUGCCCUCAUCGACUGGCACAUUGAAUGUUUCCUCUCUAGGCACUUGUGUUUUCUUUUGUCUUCCCAGUCAAAUCCUGUCCAGCACUAAAGUCAAGCCUCUGAACACCUCAACUCAUGCCUCAUACCCUCAUUCAAUCACUACUGUGAUCCUUUCCCAACAAUGUGGUCGCCCGCCAGCCGGGCGCAGUCAGCAUCGCCCACCAGACCUUCGGCGCGGCCAGGUGCGCCACCUAAGAGGGCGACGUCAAGGGUGGAGCAGAGGCCACGUCCCGCACCUGAGCCGCCGCCGUAAGAAGGCCCACUCGGACCCUCCCCUUCAGAGUCAGGUUUUUCGGCCGGAGUCCGCACCUUUGGGG